RNAcentral lists this unclassified non-coding RNA (340 nucleotides) under uncultured Mortierella. Its description in RNAcentral is "sequence contains ITS2". The record is from RNAcentral. Lineage: Eukaryota; Fungi; Mortierellomycota; Mortierellomycetes; Mortierellales; Mortierellaceae.
AACGCAUAUUGCGCUCUUUGGUAUUCCGAAGAGCAUGCUUGUUUGAGUAUCAGUAAACACCUCAAAGCCUUCAAUUCAGUUUGAAAGCUUUGGACUUGAGCAAUCCCAACAUCAGUCUCGCGACUGACGGAGGGCUGCUUGAAAUGCAGGUGCAGCUGGACAUUCUCCUGAGCUAUAAGCAUAUUUAUUUAGUCCCGUCAAACGGAUUAUUACUUUUGCUGCAGCUAACAUAAAGGGAGUCUGACCGUAUUGGCUGACUGAUGCAGGAUUUCACAAGGGCUGGCAACAACUUCUUGUAAAACUCGAUCUCAAAUCAAGUAAGACUACCCGCUGAACUUAA